This 378-nucleotide ribosomal RNA is filed under the name uncultured bacterium. RNAcentral's name for it is "bacterial SSU rRNA". It matches the Rfam family "Bacterial small subunit ribosomal RNA", at positions 523 to 898 of the family's 1533-position model. The record is from RNAcentral.
AUACGGAGGGUGCAAGCGUUGUCCGGAAUUAUUGGGUGUAAAGGGUGUGCAGGCGGGGCGGUAAGUCAGGGGUGAAAGUCUACGGCUCAACCGUAGGAUGGCCUUUGAUACUGUCGUCCUUGAGUCCCGGAGAGGCCAUUAGAAUUCGUGGUGUAGCGGUGAAAUGCGUAGAUAUCACGAGGAAUACCGGAAGCGUAGGCGGAUGGCUGGACGGCGACUGACGCUCAGGCACGAAAGCGUGGGGAGCGAACAGGAUUAGAUACCCUGGUAGUCCACGCUGUAAACGAUGGAUGCUCGGUGUUCGACUCCGUUAGCGGGUUGAGUGCCCAAGCUAACGCGAUAAGCAUCCCACCUGGGGAGUACGCUUGCAAGAGUGAA